Non-coding RNA from Lactuca sativa (garden lettuce), 954 nucleotides. NCBI's taxonomy places the organism in Eukaryota, Viridiplantae, Streptophyta, Magnoliopsida, Asterales, Asteraceae. The record is from RefSeq and is a predicted model, not a curated record.
UGUUACUCCAUGUAAUAAUUUAUUACCUCUGAAUUUUGUAUUAUAUAUUUUUCUGAAAUUUGAAACAGGAACAAGAUAUGGUACAAAAUUUGUGCACCAUAAUAUGGGUUUAUGUUGCGAAUGCAUACGCUGCUCCAUAUUUAGGCGAAUCCAAGUUUGUUUAUAUGAGGAACUUGCCCAUGCUUCUUACCAGUCUCGAAAAUUUUCAAGAUUUCAACAAAAUUGGGAGAAUCAAGCAAGAUGCAUGUUAUGUUCUUAAAGAAUUGAAAGGAUGUCGGCGUUUACUUUGCCAUUGUUGAUGUUGAGGAUGUUGGUGGUGUUCCGAAGGCUAUCGAGAGUAAAACGUACGUAGACCAAAAAAGCAUCGCUUCCAAGGAAAAGAUAUAUUGUUGUUACUUAACAGUGAAGCCAAAAAUAUUGUAAAAAGAAAAAAAAAGAGCAAGGUACUUGAAGAUUUCAUCUAUGGAAGCCAAUGGUGGAAGAAAUGUACAAAGAGGAAGCUGGAAAUUCCUCGUACACACCCUGGUUUCGUCUUUGUAUAGGUAAACUACAUGUGCCAUUAACCUAUUUUCUUUCAUUCUGUUUAAAAAUAUUGUUCAACAAUUUCUUUCAUGAUUUUAUCAUCACGUCAUGCCUUUUUUUCAUUUCAUUUUGAUCCUCUAAGGUAUUAUAUAAAUCCUUGAAAGACAGGUUGAAUUAUGUUUCAAGAUAAGGAUGAAUUAGAAGGCAGUUUUCAUGAAGCUUUGGUGGAGAAAGUAAAUAAGUUGAAUUUGUAAGUUAUAAGUUGAAUUUGUAAGUUAUUAAUUAUACUCGCAGAAGAUGUUGUAAUAUUCGAGUCUUCCCUGUUGGCAGCCGUCAACCAUACGGCAGUGAUGUUGUUGAUUGUGGUUUUGUAUUUCUUCUACAAGUGUGCAUUUGCUCAUUACUGUUGAAUUCCAAAUAUCAUUUCUUUUA